GUAUGAACGGCAAAACCUCUUCCAACUGUCUCCCCUCCCAUCCUUUUAAAUUUCUUCCUGUGUGAAGAAGCACAGAUAUAUCAGAAAGACGAGAAGACCCUGUCGAGCUUUAACCACUAAGUGGGCUUUACCCUUUUCAGGCACCACCUAAAGGUUUUGGUUGGGGCAACCAUGGAGAAAAAAGAUCCUCCAGAACAAAUAGAAGAAAGCUUUUCACUAUUUUACGACUGAGAACCAGGAACUGGUAUUCGGAAAAAGUUACCGCAGGGAUAACAGCGUCAUCUCCUCUAAGAGUCCUUAUUGACGAGGAGGUUUGCGACCUCGAUGUUGGAUUGGGGCCCCCUUAGGGUGCAGAAGCUCUAAACGGUUAGACUGUUCGUCUAUUAAAGCCCUACAUGAUCUGA
RNAcentral lists this ribosomal RNA (404 nucleotides) under Holothuria arguinensis. Its description in RNAcentral is "partial 16S ribosomal RNA". It matches the Rfam family "Bacterial large subunit ribosomal RNA", at positions 1990 to 2608 of the family's 2925-position model. Lineage: Eukaryota; Metazoa; Echinodermata; Holothuroidea; Aspidochirotida; Holothuriidae. The record is from RNAcentral.